UACAGAGGGGGCAAGCGUUGUUCGGAAUUACUGGGCGUAAAGGGCGCGUAGGCGGCCAUCUAAGUCAGCCGUGAAAUCCCCCGGCUUAACCUGGGAACGGCGUCUGAUACUGGACGGCUUGAGUAUGGGAGAGGGAUGUAGAAUUCCAGGUGUAGCGGUGAAAUGCGUAGAUAUCUGGAGGAAUACCGGUGGCGAAGGCGGCAUCCUGGACCAUUACUGACGCUGAGGCGCGAAAGCUAGGGGAGCAAACGGG
This 253-nucleotide ribosomal RNA is filed under the name uncultured bacterium. RNAcentral describes it as "partial 16S ribosomal RNA". It matches the Rfam family "Bacterial small subunit ribosomal RNA", at positions 524 to 776 of the family's 1533-position model. The record is from RNAcentral.